Molecule: small RNA, 219 nt
Filed under: Vigna angularis var. angularis
Lineage: Eukaryota; Viridiplantae; Streptophyta; Magnoliopsida; Fabales; Fabaceae
Description: Non-protein coding transcript
Source: RNAcentral
CGAAAACGUAGGUGACACUUCAAGACACGGUGAAAAAAAGAUCAACAAGGUUUGCGGAAUACCAAAUUCGCCAAUUGGUACCAAGUAGAGGUCAAAUUUAGCUUUGAAGUUGACUCAGAUGUGUUGACACAAAUGUUUAGCAUACUGUGACUAAUUUGAGGAUAUCUUACUCAAUUUAAGCCCUAAAACAUGAGUUCUUCUUAGAAUCUUGCAAGGCAG